Etheostoma spectabile (orangethroat darter) is the source of this 399-nucleotide long non-coding RNA. RefSeq lists it as uncharacterized. The transcript has 3 exons. NCBI's taxonomy places the organism in Eukaryota, Metazoa, Chordata, Actinopteri, Perciformes, Percidae. The record is from RefSeq and is a predicted model, not a curated record.
CUGGUAGUACCAAAGGCUAAUGUACCAGAGUCUGGUAGGACCAGGCUAAUGUAUCAGAGUCUGGUAGGACCAGGCUAAUGUGCCAGAGUCUGGUAGUACCAGAGUCUAGUAGGACCAGGCUAAUGUGCCAGAGUCUGGUAGUACCAGGCUAAUGUACCAGAGUCUGGUAGGACCAGUCUAAUGGACCGGAGUCUGGUAGGACCAGUCUAAUGGACCGGAGUCUGGUAGGACAAGGAUAAUGGACCAGAGUCUGGCAGGACCAGAAUGAUGGACAACAGUCUGGGAGGACAAGGCUAAUGGACAAGAGUCUGGCAGGACCAGAAUAAUGGACAAGGAGUCUGAAAGGACGAGGCUAAUGGACCAGAGUCUGGUAGGACCAGGCUUAUGGACCAGAGUCUG